GUUACUGAUGACAAAAUGGAGGUCAAGUUCAAUUAUGACGAUUUUGACUUUUACCGUUCAGGAGUUAUGGUUCUUGAAAGAUUGAAAAAUGGUGUUUCCUGUCGUGUCCGUGCAUUUUCUCAUGAACCAUUCAACCAAAGCUUUUGAAAUUUAAAUAUGUUGUUACUGAUGACAAAAUAGAGGUCAAGUUCAAUAAUGACGAUUUUGACUUUUACCGUUCAGGAGUUAUGGUUCUUGAAAGAUCGUGAAAUGGCGUUUCCAUUCACGUUGUUGCAUUUACUCAUGAACCAUUCAAUCUAAGCUUUUCAAAUUUUAAUAUGUUGAUACUGAUGACAAAAUGGAGGUCAAAUUUGAUAUUGACGAUUUUCACUUUCACCAUUCAUCAGUAAUGGUUCUUGUGAUAUUGCCAGGACACAAAUAAAUGUUUAUAAAUUCGGUUUGCUGUCGUUGUGACAGCCUCUUGUUU
This 466-nucleotide long non-coding RNA is filed under the name Mytilus galloprovincialis (Mediterranean mussel). Lineage: Eukaryota; Metazoa; Mollusca; Bivalvia; Mytilida; Mytilidae. The record is from RNAcentral.